UCCUACGGGAGGCAGCAGUGGGGAAUCUUGCGCAAUGGGCGAAAGCCUGACGCAGCCAUGCCGCGUGAAUGAUGAAGGUCUUAGGAUUGUAAAAUUCUUUCACCGGGGACGAUAAUGACGGUACCCGGAGAAGAAGCUCCGGCUAACUUCGUGCCAGCAGCCGCGGUAAU
RNAcentral lists this ribosomal RNA (170 nucleotides) under uncultured bacterium. Its description in RNAcentral is "partial 16S ribosomal RNA". It matches the Rfam family "Bacterial small subunit ribosomal RNA", at positions 337 to 524 of the family's 1533-position model. The record is from RNAcentral.